RNA transcript from Panicum hallii, 3491 nucleotides. It is a transcript of the gene named pentatricopeptide repeat-containing protein At2g20710, mitochondrial-like, with no coding region annotated. The transcript has 3 exons. Lineage: Eukaryota; Viridiplantae; Streptophyta; Magnoliopsida; Poales; Poaceae. The record is from RefSeq and is a predicted model, not a curated record.
GGGCUUUGACCAAUUUCGGCCCAAUUCCUCGUUGAGUACCCAUUCUUCCCCCAAACAAACCCUCAGUCAUAUUCCUCCAGCCCGCACAAAGCCGCCGACCGCCGGAGCGCCGCGCCACCAUGUUCCGGCGUCUCCUCCGCCGCCUCUCCACCACCGCUGAGGGCGCCGUCACAGCCUCCCCCUCCUCAUCCCCAUCCCCAUCCAAGCCGCUGCCCGAUGACUUGUACCGCCGCAUCGCGGAUGUUGGACGCGCAAACGUCCCGCUGUCCCCCGUCCUGGAGCAGUGGGCUCGAGAAGGCCACACCAUCAAGAAGCACACCGUCCAGGCCAUCGUCAAGAAGCUCGUCGGCCUCCGCCGCUUCGCCCACGCACUCGAGGUGUCCUUCUGGAUGACGGACCGGAGGCACCUCCACCUGACGGCCGGUGACGUCGCGUACCGGCUGGAGCUGAUCAGCAAGGUACACGGCCUCGAGAAAGCGGUCGAGUACUUUGGCAUGGUGCCGAAGCAGCUGAGGAAGCUGCAGUGCUAUGGCUCCCUCCUGAAAUGCUAUGUGGAGGAGAAGGACGUCGGGAAGGCUGAACAGCUCUUCACCAAGAUGGAGGACAUGGGGAUGAAGAGCUCUUAUGCAUACAAUUGCAUGAUGAAUCUAUUCUUGCAGACUGGGCAGCUCGAAAGGGUGCACGCCAUGUUCCAGGACAUGGAAGAGAAAGGCGUCAAGCCCGAUAUGUUCAGUGUGGAGAGUCUAGUAGCUGUGUACAUUGCUGCUGAAGAUUUUGAGGGAGUUCAGAAGGUGCUCAACAAGGCCAAUCCGCACGAGAAGCUUUUGAGUUGGCAUGGAUAUGCUUCAGCAGCAAGAUUGUUUAUGACAUCUGGGAUACAAGUAAGGGCUGUCACAGCUCUUCUGGAAGCGGAGAGGCGGAUCUCUCCCAAGAAUGGUAGGAUCGCAUACAGUUUCUUGCUCAAUACAUAUGCUGAUUUGGAGAUGUAUCCUGAAGUUGAACGCAUUUGGAGGGUCUACAAAUCCAAAGUACCACCGUGCAACUCGAUGUACAUGUCCAGGAUAAGUGUGUUACUCAAGAAGAAUGAUAUUGAUGGGGCUGAAGAAGCAUUGGAAGAGUGGGAAAGGGUCUGUGUUCCUUAUAAAGAUUUCAGAUUAAUCAACUUAGUGGUUGAUGCUUACUGCAGAGAAGGUCUUGUAGAAAAGGCAGUAGCUCGGGUGGAUGACGCCAUCAGGAAAGGAAGGACACCUUUUGCUAAUACUUGGUAUAAGUUGGCUGGUGGAUUUUUUUUGACUGGUCAGGUGCAGAAGGCAGUGGCCAUGACAAGGAAGGCUCUUGCUUCUGCGAGUUCUCCAUGGAAACCUGACCUGGCAAAUGUGCUAACGAGCCUGAACCAUUUCAUGGACCAAAAGGAUGUAGAAGCAGCUGAGGAGAUGACGAGUAUGCUACAGAAGCUGGUUCCUUUGACUAGGGAUGUUUAUCAUGGUUUACUGAAGACUUAUGUCUGUGCGGGAAAGCCAGUGUCCGACUUGCUUGAGCGUAUGAAGAAAGAUGGCCUUGAGGCUGAUGAGGAAACAGAUAGAAUCCUUGCAGGAGAAUGCGAGUAGAUAUGCACCGCUGUCCAUCACUAAGGUCUCCUUUCUCUGUUCAUUUUGUUCCCCCUUUUUCUUCAGUUCUUCUCAUUAGUUUGACGCAUGUCACAUUAAAUAUCACAAUCUCUUGUCUGUGAUGGCCUUAGGGCAUGUACAACCCACAUCAAUGUGGUGUCUCUUAAGCCAUCUACAGGGGGUUAUUUGCAAAAAAAUACAAGAGCCGUCUGUGGACGGAGCGACGUCUCUGGCUCUUUACCCAAGUACCAAGCGAUGACACCCGUCUCCGAUUGUACAAUUUUACCAUCUGUUCUAGGAUCCGGUGUUCCAUCCUUUCUCCUCCCGAUCGAUCGCCUCCCUUUCUCCUCCGCCCCCCGUCCCUCCCUCCUCCAUCGGGACAUGGAACCGAAGAAGAACCAGGGCGGCACCCGUUCCUCCCAUGGCGCCCGUCGCCCCUCUGUCGGCCUUGCCCGGUCCUCCACCGGUGGCCGCAUAUCAACUGCGGCCGAAAUCGACGGCGCCACCAGGAUCCCCAACGCGAUGUCCUCCCCUGGCAGCGGUGCAGUCCCAUCGGCCACCAGGUUCUCCACCGAACGGAGCUCUUCCCCUGGCAGCGGAACAGUUCCCUCCGCCACUCGAUUUGGCGCCGGCGCCCGGAUCCCAUUCGGCAGUGCAGGUCGAAGCUCCUCCCCUGGCGGCAUUGCUGCCUUUGCCUCAUCCCCUGGCAGCGCCCCACCCUUGUUUUCAAACUUGCUGCAAAGCUCUGAUAGUUUUAUGAACUACAUGGUGGGCCAGCAAGGUAAUCUACCUGAGAAUUCGCAUUUUGUGGGAAGAACAUCACAUUGCGCACCUGUGGACGAAGAACCUCACGUUGCAUGCAACAACCCGGUUGACAUCGAUGGUGAUGAUGAAACUGAAGAAGUUAGGACCGAGGCAAGGUUAAUAUGGAAACCUGAAGAGGAUGGGAGAGUGGUAUUUCCGUAAACUAUUUCCAUGUACAAUUGCAUAGAUUGAUUAAACUAUUCACCGUCUUUUUAUUUUUGAGCAGAUGAGUGCUUGGCUCAAACAUUCAAUCGACUCAAUUUCUGGAAAUAUUAAGAAGUCUGAGAAGUAUUGGUUAGAUGUGCAGAAGGAGUACAACCAAAGUACUCCAAAAAUUAGGUGGAGGACCACAAAGCAAGUUAAAGAUAGGUGGCACAAGAUCAAUAGAUUCACAAACUCGUUCAACGAUUGUUGGUUGAAGGCUAGGAAGGUUUUCACGAGUGGAUAUUCAGAUGAAAUGUGGUUAGAAAAAGCGCAUAAAUUCUAUGAGGAAGACAACCAGGGAUCACAUUACAUUUUCAGCUUAUGAAUGUUUGGUACAUGGUCCGUAAUGAGACGAAGUGGAUGUGUUACAAUGAUCAGCUCCAGGGCAAGAACCAAAGCAAGAGAAAGAUGGACAGUACAGCUACACAAGGAGGACUAGACGAUAUUGACCUUCCACGGCCAAUGGGACAGAAGGCAGCUAAAAGGGCUGCAUAUGAAGGUAAAGGAAAAUCUAAAGAUAGUGCGAUACAUGUUGACGAGCUCGAUAGAUUUGAAAAAAUUCAGAACAAUGUCCAAGCCAAUCGUCUUAAAGCUCUUGAGAUGCAAGGAAAGAUUAGCAACGACAAGAUAGAGGCUUCUAAGAUUGCUCUACAAGCAGCUAAGGAAGAGAAGGAGGCUAAAAUGUUUGAAACAUAUUCAAAUCUACUCAAGCUAGAUGUAUCAGGAAUGCCUGAAGAUAUUAGAGCUGAGCACGUUGCAGCUCUAAAAUGUUUGAGGAGCAAAUUAUUUCCAGUCUAACUAUGUGUAAUGCACUAUGUGCUGGAACAAACUUUAUUUAUAAACUAUGUGUAAUGAACUAUGAAAUAUGUGGUGCCA